UCAUAUACAUCUAUUUUUGGGGUGUUCGUUGUUAGAGUUCAUAGGUUAAAAUGUGUUCAACAUAAUGACCAAAGUGUGAGUUAUUCAAUGAAAAGACAUCACCUAUAUGACUAUGCACUUGAAAAGCCACUGUAUGACAAUUGCCUGUUUCGAACAAAAGGGAAAAGUUAGUGAACAUAAGUUCAAAGACAAAACAAUUUAUCAUCUUGCUGAGCUCGUUGGUUUCACUUUCA
Molecule: long non-coding RNA, 233 nt
Filed under: Mytilus galloprovincialis (Mediterranean mussel)
Lineage: Eukaryota; Metazoa; Mollusca; Bivalvia; Mytilida; Mytilidae
Source: RNAcentral